Molecule: long non-coding RNA, 1170 nt
Organism: Oncorhynchus tshawytscha (Chinook salmon)
Lineage: Eukaryota; Metazoa; Chordata; Actinopteri; Salmoniformes; Salmonidae
Source: Ensembl
GGUUUCCCAGAUUUAAGCACUGGGUAGCAGGAACAGGGUAGGAGAGCCCAUGGUAUACAGAGUACUGGGUAGCAGGAACAGGGUAGGAGAGCCCAUGGUAUACAGAGUACUGGGUAGCAGGAACAGGGUAGGAAAGCCCAUGGUAUACAGAGUACUGGGUAGCAGGAACAGGGUAGGAGAGCCCAUGGUAUACAGAGCACUGGGUAGCAGGAACAGGGUAGGAGAGCCCAUGGCAUACAGAGUACUGGGUAGCAGGAACAGGGUAGGAGAGCCCAUGGUAUACAGAGUACUGGGUAGCAGGAACAGGGUAGAAGAGCCCAUGGCAUACAGAGUACUGGGUAGCAGGAACAGGGUAGGAGUCCCAUGGUAUACAGAGUACUGGGUAGAAGGAACAGGGUAGGAGAGCCCAUGGUAUACAGAGUACUGGGUAGCUGUAGGAACAGGGUUGGAGAGCCCAUGGUAUACAGAGUACUGGGUAGGAGAGCCCAUGGCAUACAGAGUACUGGGUAGCAGGAACAGGGUAGGAGAGCCCAUGGUUUACAGAGUACUGGGUAGGAGAGCCCAUGGUAUACAGAGUACUGGGUAGCAGGAACAGGGUAGGAGAGCCCAUGGUAUACAGAGUACUGGGUAGCUGUAGGAACAGGGUUGGAGAGCCCAUGGUAUACAGAGCACUGGGUAGCAGGAACAGGGUAGGAGAGCCCAUGGUAUACAGAGUACUGGGUAGCUGUAGGAACAGGGUUGGAGAGCCCAUGGUAUACAGAGAACAGGGUAGGAGGGCCCAUGGCAUACAGAGUACUGGGUAGCUACAGGAACAGGGUAGGAGAGCCCAUGGCAUAAAGACUACUGGGUAGCUACAGGAACAGGGUAGGAGAGCCCAUGGCAUACAGAGUACUAGUUAGCAGGAACAGGGUAGGAGAGCCCAUGGCAUACAGAGUACUGGGUAGCUACAGGAACAGGGUAGGAGAGCCCAUGGCAUACAGAGUACUGGGUAGCUACAGGAACAGGGUAGGAGAGCCCAUGGUAUACAGAGUACUGGGUAGCUACAGGAACAGGGUAGAGGAGCCCAUGGUAUACAGAGUACUGGGUAGCUACAGGAACAGGGUAGAGGAGCCCAUGGUAUACAGAGUACUGGGUAGCUACAGGAACAGGGUAGAGGAGCCCAUGGUAUAC